RNAcentral lists this long non-coding RNA (287 nucleotides) under Micromonas pusilla. RNAcentral's name for it is "long non-coding RNA (MPUS_LNC000004)". The record is from RNAcentral. Lineage: Eukaryota; Viridiplantae; Chlorophyta; Mamiellophyceae; Mamiellales; Mamiellaceae.
GUCCUUCCGAUCCAGUAACACCUUAUCGACGUGCGUUUUCAACCUCACCUCCCCGCCGUGCUUCUCGAGCCCCCUCACGAGCGCGUUCGUGAUCUCCUCCGCGCCGCCCACGGGGAACUCAGGGUCGUUCCAUACAAGCGAUUGUCGGGGUGGAGUUCAAAGGCGUCAGGUGGAGUUCAAAGACAUCGAGGGCGGGUAUUGAAAGCGAGAGAUGGGCGGAGAGAGACGACGGCAAAAGUCCUUAAGAAACGGCGUUCACCACGCCAACGCGGUCGUAUGGGGACCAG